CGUACCUUUUGUAUAAUGGGUCAGCGACUUAUAUUCUGUAGCAAGGUUAACCGAAUAGGGGAGCCGGAGGGAAACCGAGUCUUAAUUGGGCGUUAAGUUGCAGGGUAUAGACCCGAAACCCGGUGAUCUAGCCAUGGGCAGGUUGAAGGUUGGGUAACACUAACUGGAGGACCGAACCGACUAAUGUUGAAAAAUUAGCGGAUGACCUGUGGCUGGGGGUGAAAGGCCAAUCAAACCGGGAGAUAGCUGGUUCUCCCCGAAAGCUAUUUAGGUAGCGCCUCGUGAAUUCAUCUCCGGGGGUAGAGCACUGUUUCGGCUAGGGGGCCAUCCCGGCUUACCAACCCGAUGCAAACUGCGAAUACCGGAGAAUGUUAUCACGGGAGACACACGGCGGGUGCUAACGUCCGUCGUGAAGAGGGAAACAACCCAGACCGCCAGCUAAGGUCCCAAAGUCAUGGUUAAGUGGGAAACGAUGUGGGAAGGCCCAGACAGCCAGGAUGUUGGCUUAGAAGCAGCCAUCAUUUAAAGAAAGCGUAAUAGCUCACUGGUCGAGUCGGCCUGCGCGGAAGAUGUAACGGGGCUAAACCAUGCACCGAAGCUGCGGCAGCGACACUGUGUGUUGUUGGGUAGGGGAGCGUUCUGUAAGCCUGCGAAGGUGGCCUGUGAGGGUUGCUGGAGGUAUCAGAAGUGCGAAUGCUGACAUAAGUAACGAUAAAGCGGGUGAAAAGCCCGCUCGCCGGAAGACCAAGGGUUCCUGUCCAACGUUAAUCGGGGCAGGGUGAGUCGACCCCUAAGGCGAGGCCGAAAGGCGUAGUCGAUGGGAAACGGGUUAAUAUUCCCGUACUUGGUGUUACUGCGAAGGGGGGACGGAGAAGGCUAUGUUGGCCGGGCGACGGUUGUCCCGGUUUAAGCGUGUAGGUGUGUGUUCCAGGUAAAUCCGGUUCACUUUAACACUGAGGCGUGACGACGAGGCACUACGGUGCUGAAGCAACAAAUGCCCUGCUUCCAGGAAAAGCCUCUAAGCAUCAGGUAACAUCAAAUCGUACCCCAAACCGACACAGGUGGUCAGGUAGAGAAUACCAAGGCGCUUGAGAGAACUCGGGUGAAGGAACUAGGCAAAAUGGUGCCGUAACUUCGGGAGAAGGCACGCUGACACGUAGGUGAAGUGAUUUACUCAUGGAGCUGAAGUCAGUCGAAGAUACCAGCUGGCUGCAACUGUUUAUUAAAAACACAGCACUGUGCAAACACGAAAGUGGACGUAUACGGUGUGACGCCUGCCCGGUGCCGGAAGGUUAAUUGAUGGGGUCAGCGCAAGCGAAGCUCCUGAUCGAAGCCCCGGUAAACGGCGGCCGUAACUAUAACGGUCCUAAGGUAGCGAAAUUCCUUGUCGGGUAAGUUCCGACCUGCACGAAUGGCGUAAUGAUGGCCAGGCUGUCUCCACCCGAGACUCAGUGAAAUUGAACUCGCUGUGAAGAUGCAGUGUACCCGCGGCAAGACGGAAAGACCCCGUGAACCUUUACUAUAGCUUGACACUGAACAUUGAGCCUUGAUGUGUAGGAUAGGUGGGAGGCUUUGAAGUGUGGACGCCAGUCUGCAUGGAGCCGACCUUGAAAUACCACCCUUUAAUGUUUGAUGUUCUAACGUGGACCCGUUACCCGGGUUGCGGACAGUGUCUGGUGGGUAGUUUGACUGGGGCGGUCUCCUCCUAAAGAGUAACGGAGGAGCACGAAGGUUGGCUAAUCCUGGUCGGACAUCAGGAGGUUAGUGCAAUGGCAUAAGCCAGCUUGACUGCGAGCGUGACGGCGCGAGCAGGUGCGAAAGCAGGUCAUAGUGAUCCGGUGGUUCUGAAUGGAAGGGCCAUCGCUCAACGGAUAAAAGGUACUCCGGGGAUAACAGGCUGAUACCGCCCAAGAGUUCAUAUCGACGGCGGUGUUUGGCACCUCGAUGUCGGCUCAUCACAUCCUGGGGCUGAAGUAGGUCCCAAGGGUAUGGCUGUUCGCCAUUUAAAGUGGUACGCGAGCUGGGUUUAGAACGUCGUGAGACAGUUCGGUCCCUAUCUGCCGUGGGCGCUGGAGAACUGAGGGGGGCUGCUCCUAGUACGAGAGGACCGGAGUGGACGCAUCACUGGUGUUCGGGUUGUCAUGCCAAUGGCACUGCCCGGUAGCUAAAUGCGGAAGAGAUAAGUGCUGAAAGCAUCUAAGCACGAAACUUGCCCCGAGAUGAGUUCUCCCUGAGACUUAGAGUCUCCUGAAGGAACGUUGAAGACGACGACGUUGAUAGGCCGGGUGUGUAAGCGCAGCGAUGCGUUGAGCUAACCGGUACUAAUGAACCGUGAGGCUUAACCUUACAACGCCGAAG
RNAcentral lists this ribosomal RNA (2358 nucleotides) under Salmonella enterica subsp. enterica serovar Enteritidis. Its description in RNAcentral is "bacterial LSU rRNA". It matches the Rfam family "Bacterial large subunit ribosomal RNA", at positions 600 to 2925 of the family's 2925-position model. Lineage: Bacteria; Pseudomonadati; Pseudomonadota; Gammaproteobacteria; Enterobacterales; Enterobacteriaceae. The record is from RNAcentral.